GAGCUCAGCACAUUCCAUGGCCUAGAGGGGCCACACAGAGGCCCCAGUGGGACCCAUGGCGUGGAGGCAGGUAUGGGGAGUUGUGGGGAGAUCCCAGGGUGGUCUGGGGCCUGGAACCGGCCAUUGGGAGGCCCCAGCAGUUUCAGUGCCCAGGGUCUCCCUGCAGAGCCAUGCAUGGCAGAGGAAGUGUGUAGCAUGAGCUGGUACACGCCCAUGCCCAUCAAGAAAGGCAGUGUGGUCAUGCGUGUGGACAUCAGCAGCAAUGGCCUGGGGACCUUCAUUCCAGAUAAAAGGUACCCUUUCCCAAGAUGGGGGCUGGGGUGGACUCCGGGGGAAUUCCUCACCCCAGGGUCCCCAGAGGAGCCAGUGGGAGAUCCAAGGGAGAGAAUGGGGAGAGGAGAGGCAGCUACGAGCUGUGGAACCCCUGACACUGGGACCUCACCUGCGCCUAUUCUGCACCUGCUGCUAGGUUCCAGAUGAAUAUCAACGGCUUCCUGAAGAGAGACCGGGACAAUAACAUCCAAUUCACUGUGGGAGAGAAGCUCUUCAACCUGAUGCCCCAGUACUUUGUGGGUGUCUCAUCGAGGCCCUUGUGGCACACUGUGGACCAGUCACCUGUGCUUAUCCUGGGAGGCAUUCCCAAUGAGAAGUACGUCCUGAUGACUGACACCAGCUUCAAGGACUUCUCUCUCGUGGAGGUGAACGGUGUGGGGCAGAUGGUG
Molecule: small RNA, 722 nt
Filed under: Pan troglodytes (chimpanzee)
Lineage: Eukaryota; Metazoa; Chordata; Mammalia; Primates; Hominidae
Description: retained intron
Source: RNAcentral